CCAUUCAGAGCAAAUAACAUGGACGCGCACAACAGCUGAGUGUCGGCUUCCGUGGGACCUCCAAGCGCCGUGCCUAGUUUGCUGUGGCUUCCGCCCGCCCCGCCCUGCAAGCCUCUCCCUGCGCCUAGAUACCAAAAGGCGCCUUCCGCUGCUCGGGUGGCUGGGCGGCCAGACAUCUGGUGGAGCCUGUGGCGAGGACCAGAUGAGGACCAAGACCGGACCGAGACGCCCCCAGAUCGUGACUCGUCUCUGCGGGAACCGACACAUAGACGAGGGACCUUGUAUACAGAGCUAUUUUAGAGAAAUUGCGAUUGCCACCAUGGUAUUUCUUGUGGAACCCCACCUUCUCCUGUGCCCGCACCCCAGUCAUUCCUCCUGGUCGGUCCCUGGGCAGACAUUCAUAAGCCUGUUAACUCUAACCCCUGCUCUGGCCAUGAAACAGGAGAGGCAGCCACCCCCACACCACGAUGACCUUUCCUCUCUGAAGGUCGCCCCUUUGCUACUGGGUGUCUCCCAUCAGGGAGGGUCCCUUGGAGGACACUCAUUCAUUUAUUCAACAAGUCUGACUGUGCUGGUCUGCAUGCUUUGCACUCCAACAUAGGUGCUAGGCAAGGGGAUCUGAACAGGGUGCCCACCUUGGGGUGGAUCCCUCAGCUUUUAUCACAGGGGCAGUAUUGGAGACCUCUGGUGUUCAAGGCACCAGAUAGUCCAUAGACACCCAAGCAUGGGGAAAGGCCCAAGUCCCCCCUAGACUAAGGCUGAUGAGGCUCCUGACAUGGUGACAUUGGAACUGUUGGGGACAUGGAGUUCUGCUAUUGUAUCAAUAAGUACCCCCAAAAGUUCAUGUCCUGGAAACUUGGUCCCCAGUGCAGCAGUAUUGAGAGAGGGGGCCUCUGCCAGAGCCUUGGUGAUCAGAUUCAUCCUUUCAUGGAUUCGCAGGUUGUCUUGUUUUAAGGGCAAGUAGAGAUACACUUGCACAGCCUCCACAUGUCAUGACCGAGCACCAAGCCAUCAAACACACACCAACAUCAGAUGCCUGCCCCAUGCUCCUGAACUUCCUAGCCUCCAGAGUCAUGAGCCAAAUAAAACUUCCUUAUAAAUGUA
Molecule: long non-coding RNA, 1104 nt
Organism: Arvicola amphibius (Eurasian water vole)
Lineage: Eukaryota; Metazoa; Chordata; Mammalia; Rodentia; Cricetidae
Exons: 2
Source: RefSeq, a predicted model, not a curated record